RNAcentral lists this ribosomal RNA (453 nucleotides) under Polyblastidium hypoleucum. RNAcentral's name for it is "eukaryotic LSU rRNA". The stretch from base 144 to 297 matches the Rfam family "5.8S ribosomal RNA". Lineage: Eukaryota; Fungi; Ascomycota; Lecanoromycetes; Caliciales; Physciaceae. The record is from RNAcentral.
AGACGGGGUCUAACCGGCCCCAACUCUUCACCCGUGUUCACAAAUCUAUGUUGCUUUGGCUGGCGGCUCAUUGCCUAGACGCCAGUCGGAAGUCAUCCAAAAAUCUUUUAUCGACGAAGUCCGAGUAACCAUUUAAUAAUCAAAACUUUCAACAACGGAUCUCUUGGUUCUGGCAUCGAUGAAGAACGCAGCGAAAUGCGAUAAGUAAUGUGAAUUGCAGAAUUCCGUGAAUCAUCGAAUCUUUGAACGCACAUUGCGCCCUUUGGUAUUCCGAAGGGCAUGCCUGUUCGAGCGUCAUUGCAACUCUCAAGCACUGCUUGGUAUUGGCUAUCGUCUCCCGGGACGGUUCCGAAAUUUCGUGGCGUCCGGCGAGACUUCAAGCGAACAAGACUUACAUCCCGCUAUCGAAGCACCUCGUCGAGGCGGCCAGCCAAAUAAUAAUUCGUACAGUUG